AGCGUACACGGUGGAUGCCCUGGCAGUCAGAGGCGAUGAAGGACGUGCUAAUCUGCGAAAAGCGUCGGUAAGGUGAUAUGAACCGUUAUAACCGGCGAUGUCCGAAUGGGGAAACCCAGUGUGAUUCGUCACACUAUCGUUAACUGAAUACAUAGGUUAACGAGGCGAACCGGGGGAACUGAAACAUCUAAGUACCCCGAGGAAAAGAAAUCAACCGAGAUUCCCCCAGUAGCGGCGAGCGAACGGGGAGCAGCCCAGAGUCUGAAUCAGCUUGUGUGUUAGUGGAACGGUCUGGAAAGUCCGACGGUACAGGGUGAUAGUCCCGUACACCAAAAUGCACAGGCUGUGAACUCGAAGAGUAGGGCGGGACACGUGGUAUCCUGUCUGAAUAUGGGGGGACCAUCCUCCAAGGCUAAAUACUCCUGACUGACCGAUAGUGAACCAGUACCGUGAGGGAAAGGCGAAAAGAACCCCGGCGAGGGGAGUGAAAAAGAACCUGAAACCGUGUACGUACAAGCAGUGGGAGCACCUUCGGGUGUGACUGCGUACCUUUUGUAUAAUGGGUCAGCGACUUAUAUUCUGUAGCAAGGUUAACCGUAUAGGGGAGCCGCAGGGAAACCGAGUCUUAACUGGGCGUUAAGUUGCAGGGUAUAGACCCGAAACCCGGUGAUCUAGCCAUGGGCAGGUUGAAGGUUGGGUAACACUAACUGGAGGACCGAACCGACUAAUGUUGAAAAAUUAGCGGAUGACUUGUGGCUGGGGGUGAAAGGCCAAUCAAACCGGGAGAUAGCUGGUUCUCCCCGAAAGCUAUUUAGGUAGCGCCUCGUGAAUUCAUCUUCGGGGGUAGAGCACUGUUUCGGCUAGGGGGUCAUCCCGACUUACCAACCCGAUGCAAACUACGAAUACCGAAGAAUGUUAUCACGGGAGACACACGGCGGGUGCUAACGUCCGUCGUGAAGAGGGAAACAACCCAGACCGCCAGCUAAGGUCCCAAAGUCAUGGUUAAGUGGGAAACGAUGUGGGAAGGCACAGACAGCCAGGAUGUUGGCUUAGAAGCAGCCAUCAUUUAAAGAAAGCGUAAUAGCUCACUGGUCGAGUCGGCCUGCGCGGAAGAUGUAACGGGGCUAAACCAUGCACCGAAGCUGCGGCAGCGACACUAUGUGUUGUUGGGUAGGGGAGCGUUCUGUAAGCCUGCGAAGGUGUGCUGUGAGGCAUGCUGGAGGUAUCAGAAGUGCGAAUGCUGACAUAAGUAACGAUAAAGCGGGUGAAAAGCCCGCUCGCCGGAAGACCAAGGGUUCCUGUCCAACGUUAAUCGGGGCAGGGUGAGUCGACCCCUAAGGCGAGGCCGAAAGGCGUAGUCGAUGGGAAACAGGUUAAUAUUCCUGUACUUGGUGUUACUGCGAAGGGGGGACGGAGAAGGCUAUGUUAGCCGGGCGACGGUUGUCCCGGUUUAAGCAUGUAGGCUGGUUGUCCAGGCAAAUCCGGAUAAUCAAGGCUGAGGUGUGAUGACGAGGCACUACGGUGCUGAAGUAACAAAUGCCCUGCUUCCAGGAAAAGCCUCUAAGCAUCAGGUAACAUCAAAUCGUACCCCAAACCGACACAGGUGGUCAGGUAGAGAAUACCAAGGCGCUUGAGAGAACUCGGGUGAAGGAACUAGGCAAAAUGGUGCCGUAACUUCGGGAGAAGGCACGCUGGUGUGUAGGUGAAGUCCCUGCGGAUGGAGCUGAGACCAGUCGAAGAUACCAGCUGGCUGCAACUGUUUAUUAAAAACACAGCACUGUGCAAACACGAAAGUGGACGUAUACGGUGUGACGCCUGCCCGGUGCCGGAAGGUUAAUUGAUGGGGUUAUCCGUAAGGAGAAGCUCUUGAUCGAAGCCCCGGUAAACGGCGGCCGUAACUAUAACGGUCCUAAGGUAGCGAAAUUCCUUGUCGGGUAAGUUCCGACCUGCACGAAUGGCGUAAUGAUGGCCAGGCUGUCUCCACCCGAGACUCAGUGAAAUUGAACUCGCUGUGAAGAUGCAGUGUACCCGCGGCAAGACGGAAAGACCCCGUGAACCUUUACUAUAGCUUGACACUGAACAUUGAGCCUUGAUGUGUAGGAUAGGUGGGAGGCUUUGAAGCGUGGACGCCAGUCUGCGUGGAGCCAACCUUGAAAUACCACCCUUUAAUGUUUGAUGUUCUAACGUUGGCCCCUGACCGGGGUUGCGGACAGUGUCUGGUGGGUAGUUUGACUGGGGCGGUCUCCUCCCAAAGCGUAACGGAGGAGCACGAAGGUUAGCUAAUCCUGGUCGGACAUCAGGAGGUUAGUGCAAUGGCAUAAGCUAGCUUGACUGCGAGCGUGACGGCGCGAGCAGGUGCGAAAGCAGGUCAUAGUGAUCCGGUGGUUCUGAAUGGAAGGGCCAUCGCUCAACGGAUAAAAGGUACUCCGGGGAUAACAGGCUGAUACCGCCCAAGAGUUCAUAUCGACGGCGGUGUUUGGCACCUCGAUGUCGGCUCAUCACAUCCUGGGGCUGAAGUAGGUCCCAAGGGUAUGGCUGUUCGCCAUUUAAAGUGGUACGCGAGCUGGGUUUAGAACGUCGUGAGACAGUUCGGUCCCUAUCUGCCGUGGGCGCUGGAGAAUUGAGGGGGGCUGCUCCUAGUACGAGAGGACCGGAGUGGACGCAUCACUGGUGUUCGGGUUGUCAUGCCAAUGGCACUGCCCGGUAGCUAAAUGCG
Molecule: ribosomal RNA, 2716 nt
Filed under: human gut metagenome
Description: bacterial LSU rRNA
Rfam family: Bacterial large subunit ribosomal RNA
Source: RNAcentral